UACGGGGGGGACCAGUGUUAGUCGUCUUGAUUGGGCGUAAAGGGUGCGUAGACGGUUUUUUAGAACUUUUGAUAAAUCCCACUACGAAUGUGGUAGUCUUUAGUAAUCGUUAAACUAGAGUGGUGGGGAGGGGCGUGGUACUUCUAGUUUAGAUGUAACAGUCUGCGAGAUUAGAAGGACCCUCAGCGGCGAAGGCGACUUUCCCACUCAUCACUGACGUUCAGGCACGGAGGCAUGGGGAGCAAACGGG
Molecule: ribosomal RNA, 250 nt
Filed under: uncultured bacterium
Lineage: Bacteria
Description: partial 16S ribosomal RNA
Rfam family: Bacterial small subunit ribosomal RNA
Source: RNAcentral